AGCUCAGCUGAUGCAGGCCGGUUGGAGUGGACGUCAUUGCCGGGAACGAGCGAGUCGCCGCUGCAGCCCUAGUGACUGCGGCCUGCAUCCCGAUUAUCGCAAGGGUGAGUAUUGAUAACAGGACCCGGGCAUUAGUUCAGGCAUUAAGAAGAACAACUGACCCAAAGCUCUGCAUUACUAGGGUUGAAGAACUGACUUUUCAUCUUCUAGAAUUUCCUGAAGGAAAAGGAGUGGCUGUCAAGGAAAGAAUUAUUCCAUAUUUAUUACGACUGAGACAAAUUAAGGAUGAAACUCUUCAGGCUGCAGUUAGAGAAAUUUUGGCCCUAAUUGGCUAUGUGGAUCCAGUGAAAGGGAGAGGAAUCCGAAUUCUCUCAAUUGAUGGUGGAGGAACAAGGGGCGUGGUUGCUCUCCAGACCCUACGAAAAUUAGUUGAACUUACUCAGAAGCCAGUUCAUCAGCUCUUUGAUUACAUUUGUGGUGUAAGCACAGGUGCCAUAUUAGCUUUCAUGUUGGGGUUGUUUCAUAUGCCCUUGGAUGAAUGUGAGGAACUUUAUCGAAAAUUAGGAUCAGAUGUAUUUUCACAAAAUGUCAUUGUUGGAACAGUAAAAAUGAGUUGGAGCCAUGCAUUUUAUGACAGUCAAACAUGGGAAAACAUUCUUA
Molecule: long non-coding RNA, 660 nt
Filed under: Homo sapiens (human)
Lineage: Eukaryota; Metazoa; Chordata; Mammalia; Primates; Hominidae
Description: non-protein coding lnc-PNPLA8-2:7
Source: RNAcentral